This 440-nucleotide ribosomal RNA is filed under the name uncultured bacterium. RNAcentral describes it as "partial 16S ribosomal RNA". It matches the Rfam family "Bacterial small subunit ribosomal RNA", at positions 338 to 795 of the family's 1533-position model. The record is from RNAcentral.
CCUACGGGAGGCAGCAGUGGGGAAUAUUGCACAAUGGGGGAAACCCUGAUGCAGCGACGCCGCGUGUGGGAAGACGGGCCUCUGGAUUGUAAACCACUGUCCCCAGGGACGAGGAUGACGGUACCUGAGGAGGAAGCUCCGGCUAACUACGUGCCAGCAGCCGCGGUAAUACGUAGGGAGCGAGCGUUGUCCGGAAUUACUGGGUGUAAAGGGAGCGUAGGCGGGACUGCAAGUUGGGUGUCAAAUCUCCCGGCUCAACCGGUAGCCGCACUCAGAACUGCAGUUCUUGAGUGUAGUAGAGGCAGGCGGAAUUCCUGGUGUAGCGGUGAAAUGCGUAGAUAUUAGGAGGAACACCAGUGGCGAAGGCGGCCUGCUGGGCUUUUACUGACGUUGAGGCUCGAAAGUGUGGGGAGCAAACAGGAUUAGAUACCCUAGUAGUC